UAGUUCGACCAAUCGCCGCAAGAUCAAGGGCGAUCUUGCUUCCAGCUUUCAGCCUCCAGGCUCCUGAGGGAGGCAGCCGUUCAGAUGAUGGGUUGGGUACAGUUAGCAGCUUCAGGAUAUCCGAACAGGAUGAAGAUAAGAUCAGAGAACCAUAGCGACGGAUCAGAUUAUCAGAGUGUACCUGUUUAUCCAAAGAAUGUAGAGAGUGGAGCUGUAUACUGGCUCUCUGAAGACAAAUAGAUCGCCCAGCAGAACCUAGCAGAUGCCGCAAUACUGAGAAGUGUGGAAGAUGUCACGCAGAGAAGAGGACCAUGUGUCAGCUGUCAUUGUUGAGUCUGGACUGGAGAGAGAACGCAGCUUUAAAUUCUGAGGUGGUGUCAUCUCAGAUGACCUGUCCUGGUCCAGCACAUAGACGUAAUCAUGAAGAAGGCACACCAGCAACUCUACUUUCUUAGAUGCUUAAGGCAUGUCACCAAAUAAUUGAGCAACUGUGGAAAGAAUUCUGACUAGUUGUAUCAAGGGCCUGGUAAUGUAAUUCCAAUGCACAGGAGCACAAGAGGCCUCAGAAAGCUGUGGACACGAGUCUGGUCCAUCAUGGUUCAUCAUGCCUCAAGAAGAUGACAUCUUUCAUCAAAGAUCUCCACUACGUGGGUCUUGUUUUUUCUCACUGCUACCAUCACAUAAAAUGCAGAAUCCUGAGGUAUAAGAUGAUGCAAGGCAUUGAUCGUGUGGAUAGUCAGAGGCUUUUUCUCAGGGCUGAAAUGCCUAACACGGGAGGGCACAGUUUUAAGAUGCUUGGAGGUAGGUACAGAGGAAAUGUUGGGGUAAGCUUUUUACGCAGAGUGGUGAGUGCGUGGAAUGGGCUGCUGGCGACGGUAGUGGAGGCGGAUAUGAUAGGGUCUUUUAAGAGACUCCUGGAUAGGUGCAUGGAGCUGAGAAAAAUAGAGGGCUAUAGGUACAAAUUUACCCCUUUCACCUUCAAACUAUGCCCUGAAAUAUUAGAUAUUUCAACCCUGGGAAAAUGAUAUCAGCCGUCCUCUAUCUGUGCCUCUCAUAAUUUUAUAAACUUUUAUUAGGUCUGCACUCAGCCUUCACUGUUUCAGAGAAAACAAUCCGAUUUGUCUAAACUAAUCUUGUAGCACAUGUUCUUCAAUCCUGACAGCAUCCAGGCAAACCACCUCUGCACAUUCCCCAAAACCUCCACAUCCUUCCUGUAAUGGGUCAAAAAGAAUUGAAUGGAAUAAUCUAGAUGCAGCUUAACUAGGGUUUUAUAAAGGUGCAAAAUAACUUCCUGUCUCUUGAACUCAGAGUGUUGACUAAUAAAGGCAAGCAUGCCAUGCUCCUUCUUUAUGACCCUUUUGUCAUGUGCAGCCACUUUUAGCGAACAAUGAACUUGGACACCAAGAUCCCUAUGUACAUCAACACUGUUAAGGGUCCUGCCAUUAACAGUAUACUUUAUAUAUGAUCUCUCAAAAUGCAACAACUCACACUUGUUUGGAUUAAACUCAAUCCAGCUGUAGCUUCUGAUCUAUAUUCUGCUGUAUCCAUUGAUAAUGUUCUACACUAUCCACAACACAACCAAUCUUUGCAUUGUCUGCAAAUUUAGAAAUCCAGCCAUUUAUGCUUUCAACCGAUCCAUUUAUAUAUGUAUAUCAAAAAAAAGAGAAGUCCCAGUAUUGAUUUCUGCGGAACAUCAAUUGCCAUGGAACUGCAGCUAGAAUAAGACCCACUGACUUUCACUAACAAGAGAAAAUCCAAGCAACUCAGUCAAAAUUCAGGAGGAACUCAGCAGGCCAAGGGUCUUAGUCCAAAACAUUGACUGUACUCUCUUCCAUAGAUGCUGCCUUGCCUGCUGAGUUCCUCCAACAUUUUGUGUGUGUUGCAUUGACUAUCACUCUUUGUUUUCUAUUGGCGAGCAGAAUCCAAACAGAUAAAUCACGAUAAAUUCCAUAUAUCUUAAUCUUCUGUAACUCCAUGAUGGAUGGUCCCCACCCUGGCUAUGAAAGAAGGAGGUUUGGGCAUAGGGAUAGCAACCUCAUCCAGUAAAUACCUAGUGCUACCAAAAUACCAAUAGAAGCUCCAAAGUCCUCGUCCCUGGGGGAGGAAGGAUCUUCAAUGGGCUACACUGGUAGGUAACUUAAAAGACUGGCCCAGGACAGUUGCUGUCUGUGGCCUAUUCCGCGGAAGCAGAGGUGGGCUUAAGUAAGUCAUCUUCUGUAUUCAUAUAAUGUAUUCAUGAAUUGGUCCCUUCUCUAAUAAUGAUGUGAACUGAAAAAAGAUCUCGUGCUUUCCCAGUGUAUAAACUCUUCUGGACCUCUAGCCAAGUACGGAUAUUGAUUAUAACUGAUGCUUCAAUGACAAACUCUACCAUGUUCUUCAGGGAUGAAGAAUACUGCCAAACAAGACACAUUCAGGGCAUCAUCCCUGAAGAAGAUGGCAGUGCUUGUUGUUGAAGCGUUGGUUAUAAACGACACCUGUACAAAGCUGGAAGCCCGAGAAGAGUUUAUUCGUCAUUAAUGAUGUGACCUGCUAUCAAAGAGAAGUAGACUGUCAUGAAGCAUAGUGCUCUUCUAUCAUCUUGGAGCUUAAUGUUAUCAGGACAGUGGAAAUGAGGUUGACUUCUACCGACAACCCGCUAUGGUCAAGCUAUGUCUGUGGUUGAGUCAUUCAAAUUCUUGGGGAGUACAAUUACCAAUAUAUUGAAGUGGGGUAAGCACAUUACACUCAUCACUAGGAAAACAAAGCAGAAAUUGUUCUUCCUGAGCAUCUCAGGGUGUACUCUGACGAAUUUUUACUCAACCAUCAUUGAGAGUGUUGUGAUCACUGCUAUCACCGUUUGGUUUCCCACCACAUUCUCCUAUCUCUCCAAGUCCAGGUUGCAGCCAGUGGUCAUUGGCUGUCGGCGACCGACAUUAAAAGACCUGUUCCUUGCCAGAGUGAAGAGAAGAGCUGGACAAACUACUGCCGGCUCCACCCACACUGGCAGUCACUUAUUCAACAAAUUGCAAUGAAGGAGACUCCAUAAGUCCAUCACCAGACUAUUCAUUUUCUCUGAAGCUCAUUUCCAGCUUCCCAAUAAAACUCACUUAGAUGUAAUACCCUGAGUAUCUCUGCACAACAUCCAUUAAAUGGUCUU
Molecule: long non-coding RNA, 3136 nt
Organism: Hypanus sabinus (Atlantic stingray)
Lineage: Eukaryota; Metazoa; Chordata; Chondrichthyes; Myliobatiformes; Dasyatidae
Exons: 4
Source: RefSeq, a predicted model, not a curated record